CUUGUCCAGAUUUUGGUGUCAACAGAACUCUAGUGGCAUGCUUAACACAUGCAAGUCAAAUGGGAAGCGGUAUUUCCAGUGGCGAAUGGGUGAGUAACACGUAAGAACCUACCCUUGGGAGGGGAACAACAACGGGAAACGGUUUCUAAUACCUCGUAGGCUGAGGAGCAAAAGGAGAAAUCCGCCUAAGGUGGGACUCGCAUCUGAUUAGCUAGUUGGUGAGGCAAUAGCUUACCAAGACGAUGAUCAAUAGCUGGUCUGAGAGGAUGAUCAGCCACACCGGGACCGAGACACGGCCCAGACCCCUACCGGAGGCAGCAAUGGGGAAUUUUCCGCAAUGGGCGAAAGCCUGACGACGGAGCAAUGCCACGUGGAGGUGGAAGGCCUACGGGUCAUCAACUUCAUUUCUUGGAGAGGAAACAAUGACGGUAUCUGAGGAAUAAGCAUUGGCUAACUCUGUGCCAGCAACCGCGGUAAGACAGAGGAUGCAAACGUUAUUCGAAAUGAUUGGGCGUAAACUGUCUGUAGGUGGCUUUUCAAAUAUGCCAUCAAAUCCCAGGGCUCAACCCUGGACAGGCAGUGGAAACUACCAAGCUUGAGUACUGUAGGGGCAGAGGGAAUUUUUGGUGGAGCAGUAAAAUGCAUUGAGAUCAGAAAGAACACCAAUAGUGAAAGCACUCUGCUGGGCCGACACUGACACUGAGAGACGAAAGCUAGGGGAGCAAAUGGGAUUAGAGACCCUAGUAGUCCUAGCCGUAAACGAUGGAUACUAGGUGUUGUGCAACUCGACCUGUGCAACGUUGUAGCUAACGCGUUAAGUAUCUCGCCUAGGGAGUAUGUUUGCAAGAAUGAAACUCAAAGGAAUUGAUGGGGCCCACACAAGUGAUGGAGCAUGUGGUUUGAUUCGAUGCAAAGCAAAGAACCUUACCAAGGCUUGACAUGCUACAAAUCCUCUUGAAAGAGAGGGGUGCCCUCGGGAAUACGGACACAAGUGGUGCAUGGCUUUCAUCAGCUUGUGCCAUAAGGUGUUGGGUUAAGUCUCACAACAAACGCAACACUCGUGUUUAGUUGCCACUAUGAGUUUGGAACCCUAAACAGACCGCCAGUGUUAAGCCGGAGGAAGGAAAGGAUAAGGCCAAGUCAUCAUGCCUCUUAUGCCCUAGGUGACACUCAUGCUACAAUGGGCAGGACAAAGGGUCGCGAUCUCACGAGGGUGAGCAAACUCCAAAAACCCGUCCUUAGUUCGGAUUGCAGGCUGCAACUCGACUGCGUGAAGCAGGAAUCGCUAGUAAUCGCGUGGUCAGCCAUACGGCGGUGAAUCCUUUCCCAGGCCUUGUACACACCGCCCGUCACAUUAUAGGAGCUGGCUAGGUUUGAAGUCAUUACCCCUAACCAUAAGGAGGGAGAUGCCUAAGGCUAGGCUUGCGACUGGAGUGAAAUCAUAACAAGGUAGCCGUACUGGAAGGUGUGGCUGCAUGGAUCACCUCUUUA
Molecule: ribosomal RNA, 1491 nt
Organism: Dichanthelium oligosanthes
Lineage: Eukaryota; Viridiplantae; Streptophyta; Magnoliopsida; Poales; Poaceae
Rfam family: Bacterial small subunit ribosomal RNA
Source: Rfam